AUUGAACGCUGGCGGCAUGCUUUACACAUGCAAGUCGAACGGUAACAGGCCGCAAGGUGCUGACGAGUGGCGAACGGGUGAGUAAUGCAUCGGAACGUGCCCAGUCGUGGGGGAUAACUACUCGAAAGAGUAGCUAAUACCGCAUACGAUCUAUGGAUGAAAGCGGGGGACCGUAAGGCCUCGCGCGAUUGGAGCGGCCGAUGUCAGAUUAGGUAGUUGGUGGGGUAAAGGCUCACCAAGCCAACGAUCUGUAGCUGGUCUGAGAGGACGACCAGCCACACUGGGACUUGAGACCGGCCCAGACUCCUAAGGGAGGCAGCAGUGGGGAAAUUUGGAAAAUGGGGGCAAGCCUGAUCCAGCAAUGGCGCGGGGAAGAAGAAGGCCUUCGGGGUGGAAACUGGUUUUGUUCGGAACGAAACGGCUCUGGUUAAUACCCGGGGCUAAUGACGGUACCGUAAGAAUAAGCACCGGCUAACUACGUG
RNAcentral lists this ribosomal RNA (482 nucleotides) under uncultured bacterium. RNAcentral describes it as "partial 16S ribosomal RNA". It matches the Rfam family "Bacterial small subunit ribosomal RNA", at positions 29 to 507 of the family's 1533-position model. The record is from RNAcentral.